Molecule: ribosomal RNA, 258 nt
Filed under: uncultured bacterium
Lineage: Bacteria
Description: partial 16S ribosomal RNA
Rfam family: Bacterial small subunit ribosomal RNA
Source: RNAcentral
UACGAAGGGGGCUAGCGUUGUUCGGAUUUACUGGGCGUAAAGCGCACGUAGGCGGAUUGUUAAGUGAGAGGUGAAAAUCCCCGGAGCUCAACUCCGGAACUGCCUUUCAUACUGGCAAUCUAGAGUCCGGAAGAGGUGAGUGGAACUCCUAGUGUAGAGGUGGAAUUCGUAGAUAUAGGAAGAACACCAGUGGCGAAAGGCGGCUCACUGGCCCGAUACUGACGCUGAGGCAACGAAAAGCGUGGGGGAGCAAACAGG